This 700-nucleotide ribosomal RNA is filed under the name uncultured bacterium. Its description in RNAcentral is "bacterial SSU rRNA". It matches the Rfam family "Bacterial small subunit ribosomal RNA", at positions 56 to 733 of the family's 1533-position model. The record is from RNAcentral.
UGCAGUCGAGCGCGAAAGUCCCUUCGGGGGCGAGUAGAGCGGCGGACGGGUGAGUAAUACAUAGGUAAUCUACCUUCGAGCUUGGGAUAACCCCGCGAAAGUGGGGCUAAUACCGGAUAAGACCACGUAACCAUGUUGCGGGGUAAAAGGUGGCUUAUUUUUUAAAUGAGCUAUCACUUGAGGAUGAGCCUGUGGCCUAUCAGCUUGUUGGCGGGAUAAAAGCCCACCAAGGCUAUGACGGGUAGCUGGUCUGAGAGGACGACCAGCCACACUGGGACUGAGACACGGCCCAGACUCCUACGGGAGGCAGCAGUGGGGAAUAUUGGGCAAUGGGCGAAAGCCUGACCCAGCGACGCCGCGUGGGCGAUGAAGGCCUUCGGGUUGUAAAGCCCUGUCAUGCGGAAAGAACGACCCUGUGACGCAUACUCACAGGGAGUGACGGUACCGCAGGAGGAAGCACCGGCUAACUCCGUGCCAGCAGCCGCGGUAAUACGGAGGGUGCAAGCGUUGUUCGGAAUUAUUGGGCGUAAAGGGCGCGUAGGCGGUAAUGUAAGUCAGAUGUGAAAUACUUCGGCUCAACUGAAGAACUGCAUCUGAAACUGCAUAACUAGAGUACAGAAGAGGGAAACGGAAUUCCCGGUGUAGAGGUGAAAUUCGUAGAUAUCGGGAGGAACACCAGUGGCGAAGGCGGUUUCCUGGU